RNAcentral lists this long non-coding RNA (1028 nucleotides) under Homo sapiens (human). RNAcentral's name for it is "HSALNT0029886". The record is from RNAcentral. Lineage: Eukaryota; Metazoa; Chordata; Mammalia; Primates; Hominidae.
UCCCCAGAAGACUUUAGUAACUGACUUCAAGAUAUUUUUAGAUUUUACAUUGGAUUGGUCGCAACUGAUAAAAAUUGUUCCUUAUCCUCUCUUUUUGUAAGUCAUCUAAGACCUAAAUGAGAAUUUGGUCAGAAGACUAAAUUGGGAUGGAAAAUUAUAGAUCUGGUAUAUCUCUAUCAUGUAAAAGGAUAUUUCCAAAGGGACCUAAAAAACUGGCAUUUAAGACAAACAUAUGGCCUCUCAAAUAAAUAACUGAUCCCCAAUAGAAAAAUAAUCCAAAAUUUCUACAUUGUCUAAGACCUAAAGGCCUAUUGAUAAGUUUACUUUCAGACUCUGUAAUGAAACAGUUUAUUGAGACAGCUAGUAUCAAUAUUAGCACAAAAAUGUGCCAAUUCCCCCAAACCUACUCAAUGAUGCUGCCUUGAAGAAGACAUUUAGCAUUCAAUAACUGCCUAUCCCUUUAACUUCCAAGAAAUUACUCAACAAAAAUGGCAUUUUCUUGUAGAUAUGGUAGCCAUUGUUUCAAUCACAAAUUUCACUAUUCUAAAAAGGCAGAUCCCUUGUUCUACUCUCACUUGAAUAGUAUGAAUUUCUAAUAAUUUCAACUCUAUCUUUAUGUAUAAAUCUUUAACUGUCCUGCUGUGACCAUUAUCUCCAGAGUACUUCAUCUUUUAAGAAACUACCCUAUCAAAUUUAUUAUCAAAUUUAUACACAGAGAUUUACUGUAUAACUAAAACUGCCAAAAAAUGUUUAACUGAAAGACUGUGAACAGAGUUCCCAGAAUAUGUUAUACCUUUAAUUAUUUUAUAGCUGAUAUUUUAAUGUUUGUUUUCCUAAAGUAAAUAUUAGAAAAUCUUUGAUCAGCAACUGAGAAUUAGAUAAUCUUACAAAAUAUUUAUGAACAAACGAAUGUAUUAAUAUUGUUAAAAAUAUAAGUUAAACAAGUUAGCAUUCAGGUUGAUAUUUUUAGUUAUUAUAUAAUCUUUGUCAGUAACAAGUUUGUUACUUUCUCAAGUAACAAGUUGCAU